This 303-nucleotide ribosomal RNA is filed under the name uncultured bacterium. RNAcentral's name for it is "bacterial SSU rRNA". It matches the Rfam family "Bacterial small subunit ribosomal RNA", at positions 355 to 672 of the family's 1533-position model. The record is from RNAcentral.
UGGGGAAUAUUGGGCAAUGGGCGCAAGCCUGACCCAGCAACGCCGCGUGAAGGAAGAAGGCUUUCGGGUUGUAAACUUCUUUUCUCAGGGACGAAGAAAGUGACGGUACCUGAGGAAUAAGCCACGGCUAACUACGUGCCAGCAGCCGCGGUAAUACGUAGGUGGCAAGCGUUAUCCGGAUUUACUGGGUGUAAAGGGCGUGUAGGCGGGAGUGCAAGUCAGAUGUGAAAACCACGGGCUCAACCUGUGGCCUGCAUUUGAAACUGUACUUCUUGAGUACUGGAGAGGCAGACGGAAUUCCUA